This 835-nucleotide ribosomal RNA is filed under the name Lactiplantibacillus plantarum. RNAcentral's name for it is "bacterial SSU rRNA". It matches the Rfam family "Bacterial small subunit ribosomal RNA", at positions 63 to 866 of the family's 1533-position model. The record is from RNAcentral. Lineage: Bacteria; Bacillati; Bacillota; Bacilli; Lactobacillales; Lactobacillaceae.
CGAACUCUGGUAUUGAUUGGUGCUUGCAUCAUGAUUUACAUUUGAGUGAGUGGCGAACUGGUGAGUAACACGUGGGAAACCUGCCCAGAAGCGGGGGAUAACACCUGGAAACAGAUGCUAAUACCGCAUAACAACUUGGACCGCAUGGUCCGAGCUUGAAAGAUGGCUUCGGCUAUCACUUUUGGAUGGUCCCGCGGCGUAUUAGCUAGAUGGUGGGGUAACGGCUCACCAUGGCAAUGAUACGUAGCCGACCUGAGAGGGUAAUCGGCCACAUUGGGACUGAGACACGGCCCAAACUCCUACGGGAGGCAGCAGUAGGGAAUCUUCCACAAUGGACGAAAGUCUGAUGGAGCAACGCCGCGUGAGUGAAGAAGGGUUUCGGCUCGUAAAACUCUGUUGUUAAAGAAGAACAUAUCUGAGAGUAACUGUUCAGGUAUUGACGGUAUUUAACCAGAAAGCCACGGCUAACUACGUGCCAGCAGCCGCGGUAAUACGUAGGUGGCAAGCGUUGUCCGGAUUUAUUGGGCGUAAAGCGAGCGCAGGCGGUUUUUUAAGUCUGAUGUGAAAGCCUUCGGCUCAACCGAAGAAGUGCAUCGGAAACUGGGAAACUUGAGUGCAGAAGAGGACAGUGGAACUCCAUGUGUAGCGGUGAAAUGCGUAGAUAUAUGGAAGAACACCAGUGGCGAAGGCGGCUGUCUGGUCUGUAACUGACGCUGAGGCUCGAAAGUAUGGGUAGCAAACAGGAUUAGAUACCCUGGUAGUCCAUACCGUAAACGAUGAAUGCUAAGUGUUGGAGGGUUUCCGCCCUUCAGUGCUGCAGCUAACGCAUUAAGCA